This is an RNA transcript of Oreochromis niloticus (Nile tilapia), 8899 nucleotides long. RefSeq lists it as uncharacterized. The record is from RefSeq and is a predicted model, not a curated record. The transcript has 7 exons. NCBI's taxonomy places the organism in Eukaryota, Metazoa, Chordata, Actinopteri, Cichliformes, Cichlidae.
GUAAGCUUUUUCAAGGCGUUAACUACAGCACCCUUUAAUACCUCAACUCUUGAUUCAGCCAAGGUAAGUGCCCCCCCUUAUAUUUUCUAUGUAUGUGUUCAGCUGAUAUUUAGAAAAAAAUAGGUGUGUUUAGCGCUGGAUGUCAUUUUAUUCCAGAGCUGUUGUUUGUAAUUAAAACUUUUAAGAUUAGAUGGUACAGUGUUUUUACUCCCUUCCAAACAGUAAAGUUCCUCUUUGUCUCUCAGUAGGAAAUUUAAACCAGACAGUACAAGGCUACAUUUCAGUGUUACAAGCCAAUCAGUUUGCUAAUUGUUCUGUGAGAUUUGUUUGCAAAGUUUAAGGUGUUAAGUAGGACUGUGAACAUCUGGGUCUGCUUGCUGCUGGCAUUCUGCCAGAGCCCCAGCAACGAGACUGCCUGUCAGCCUUGCAAGGUACCCAAUUUUCCAAUUACUCUAUAACAAAACUGUUGUGGGCAACAAGACUGUCUCCUAAGUUUGCAAGCCAAUCACUUUGCCAAAUGUUCUUGUAAGAUUUGUUUGAAAAGUUUGAGGUGGUAACUGUGAGCUGUGAACAUCUGGGUUUGCUUGCUGCUGGCAUUUGACCAGCGUCUCAGCAACAACACUGCCUCCCAGCUUUGCAAGGUAAUUACUUUCCCAAUUACUGUACACCAAAACAAAGUAACUGUCGUGGUCAACAAAUCUGCCUCCCAACAUUCAAGGUAAUCACUUUCUCAAUUACAAUAUACAAACUGUUAUGGAACUUUACUUAACAAAGCCUUAAGACCGGGUAGUGACACUAUCAAUAUGUCUAUUUAAAGAAAAGAGAGAUUUUUUUUUGUUCUUGUAGUCAUCUUGUCUGUCAAUGUAUCAGAGGGUUAAAAUAACAAAUUGCUUGAAAUGCCAAUAAUUAAUAUUCUGUUUUUAUGUUGACAUUCUACCAGAUGCCGAGAAAAAAUAAAAGAUCCCAGGCACAAAAGAAGCGCUGGAAACCACUUGACCUGGUCGAUCCUGCUGUCCCAAUGCUCACUGGCCACAACCAAGAUGAGGCAGUCAGUAGUUUUCCAUCUGACCAGCAGACGGCACCAGCCGGGUUAUCUUUGGAAACACAGGAUAGACCCACCUCCUUAUGUUCCCCAGGUACCAAGCAGACAGCACCAGCCAGCUUGUCCUUGGAAACGGAGAAUAGACCCACCUCCUUAUGUCCUCCAGGCAGCAAGAGUUCAGAAACUCGUCCACCAGCAAAACGAGUCUGGGCAACCGAUGAUUUCCACACGGCAUCAAAUUCUCCACCUAAAAAGCCUUUCCACAACAUAAAUGAACAACUACUGACAGAGGAGCUACAGAGCAACGCAGUUCAGCACUUCUGGUGUGUCAGUGCAACUCAUUGUCAAAGUGAUGAAAGGUACACAGAAUUCUCUCGAAAUCAUCAGUGCACAUGUAAUGCCCUCACAUUCCUGGCCUACCUUAAUGAGGAACACCAGUUCAACACAGCCCGACUUGAUAAGGUGCUUAAACAGGGAGAUGCACUCUACUGUUGGAUUAAAACAAAUCUUCAGCAGGAGAGGCGUUAUACACAAGAUCAUCUGACCAUGGAGGACCUACCCAAAGAAGUUCAUGCUGACAUAAAUGUCUACAGUGUGAAAAUGGACAACAUAAGGUAUGGAUACCUGAAAGCAGCAGACAAAACUUACCAAAGAAAAGAGUGGUGGUUGCCUCUUGCUAGUCGCCUUGUAUGUCUGUCAACAGAUGUGAACUAUGCUUUGCUCAUGGUUUCACCUCAGUGCAUUGCAGUUUUCCGUGACAAAUCUGGGAGGUAUGGAUUAUUUGAUUCACAUUCAAGAAGUGCAGCAGGUUUACACCAGCCAAAUGGAACAGCAGUCAUGCUCACUUUCACUCAUGUGAAUGACCUGAUCAACCACCUGCAUAACCUUUUUCAAAAUCAAGGCAGGUAUGCAAGAUAUGAGUUUGUGCCUGUUUCUUUCAAAAGAGUCAGCACUCACAACGAACAGCCUGCACAGUCAACUCGGGCAACAGCAGCAACAGCUACAUCAUAACCACAAAAUGAUGAACCACAAAUCACAAAUUCCACUGUGCAAGUGCCUCAACCAGAAUCAGCCCAAACCUACAUGACAAUGUUAGAAAAUACUUCAAACUCAUCACAAGACAAAAUGGCUUCAAAUCAAAUCUGUGAACAUCAACUUGAAACAUCUGUUGACCCAACAAGCAACAUCCAGAAAGAACAACAAGAAAUUAGCCUCAAUAAUGAAAGAGAUAAAGUAAAAGAUAAAACCCACCAAAAAGCAAGAAAUGUGAGCAGAUUAAAUAAAGGACGACGUGGGAAAGCUAUUCGUCAAGCUCAAAAAAGUCAGAGGGAGUAUGUAAAAGCUAAAGACAAAUCUUCAACUGAAGAAGUGGCAAAGAAGACAAACAAAAAAAGACAUGAAAGAGAACGAUAUGCCUGCUGUCGUGAAUUUCGAAUGAAAAGAUUACAGACUAUGAAAAUUCAAUAUGCUGAAAACUGUCAUUACCGUAAACAAAGACUAUUAUCAGCCAAAAAUUAUUAUGCAAAUCCUCAUAUUCAAGAAAAAGUAAAAGCCCACAAGGUGAAGAGAUACCAAAGUGAUCAUCAUUUUCAACAAAAAAUGAGAAACUACAUUAUCAGAAGAUAUACCACAGAUCCUGACUAUCAAACCAGACAGAAGCAAUAUGUGGUCCAGAGGUACAACACGGAUGCCAGCUUUCAAACCAGACAGAAACAAUAUGUGGUCCAGAGGUACAACAGGGAUGCCAGCUUUCAAACAAGACAGAAACAAUAUGUGGUCCAGAGGUACAACACGGAUGCCAGCUUUCAAACCAGACAGAAACAAUAUAUGGUCCAGAGGUACAACACGGAUGCCAGCUUUCAAACCAGACAGAAGCAAUAUAUGGACCAGAAAUACAAAGAGGAUCAUGUCAGAGAAAGGAAGAAGGCAUACAUAAGAACAAAAUAUGCAUCGGAUCCAAACUACAGGCACAAACAAAAAAAAUCAAUUCAUGCCAGGUACCACAAUGACUCACAAUUCAGACUGCACCAUAUACAGCGCUGUGCCCAGUACCAGAGACACAAAAUGGCUACCACUGCAUCUUUCGCCAUUUAUAAAAAGUUGUGUGCACAGAGAAUAAAGAAGAAAUACAGACGACUAGUAACACAAUUCCAGCAGGGUCCACAGUCUGAAGCACAGCCCCAGCUUGUAGUGAAUAGUGUGAUGCAAGCAGCCACAUUAGCUUUCCGUGAAACAAUUAAGUUAGCACCCACCCAUGUCUGUACGGUGUGCCACAGAACUCUGUUUCCUAAUCAAGUUCAACACUGCAAAAGAUCAAAGUAUGUUACAAAUAGUCACGUUGUUGACACUUGCUUGACAGGAAAAUUUGUCCAUGUUUGUGAUAGUGAAUGUACAGCUAAUUGUACCUUUCCAAAACAAAGAAUGCAAGAGUGGAUUUGCUACAACUGUGACAGCCACCUACAACGAGGAAAGAUCUCUUCCAUCGCAGUGGCAAACAAUUUAGCACUAGCACCCAUUCCAAUUGAACUGGGUCAAUUAAAUGUACUAGAACGACAACUGAUUGCUAAAAUUCUCCCGUUUGCCAAAAUCAUUGCAUUACCAAAAGGACAGCAAAGAGCCGUACAUGGGGCUGUUGUUUGUGUACCGUCGGAUGUGGAAACCACAGUAAACUCUCUUCCCAGACCUUGCAAUGAAGCCCAGCUCCUGCAGGUACAACUGAAAAGACACAUCAGAUUCAAAGGAUACCAACACUUCUACACUGUGAACAUGAAGAAUGUGUUAGCAGGCUUAUCAAAGCUAAAAGAGAUGCAUUCAGAAUACAAAGAUGUAUCUAUCGAUGAUGACGCUACUUUUGCUGAUCCCACAAAUAAUCAGAUAAUCGAGACGGAACAUGACACUGCUGAUGUAGAUAUUCAAGAUGCACUGCCCAGAAACUUCGACAACCAAAUUGUACCAGAAAGAAGAACCACUGAGGAUACAACAGCUGGAAUACUUGAGCCAUGUCAUGAUGUAAACGAACUAUUGGAGCCUGAACACUCAAAUGGAGAGCCCUUACAAGAUAUGGAGAAAGAAAAGGAAGAACUUCGCCCCGGUCUUGUUCUAGACACCUGUAUGCAACCACCAGAUAUAGCACAGGACAUUUUAUCAUAUGGUGAAGGAAUAUUUAGCAUUGCACCCGCCCAAAGAAAUAGACCUGUUGGCUUCUUCUCUGUUCCUAAACUUGAAGCCAUGGCCUUUCCUGUGCAGUUCCCAACUGGACAGAACACAUUAGAUGAAGCCAGACAAGUCAAACUGUCCCCAAGCAUGUAUUUUAAUACACGGCUGUUCUCUGCAGAUACACGGUUUGCAACUGACCAAAGCUACCUAUUCUGUGCACAGUUUGUAACAGAAAAACACAUGGCUACAAACAGCAUGUCCAUCCAAUUGCGCAAAGGUAAGGCAAUCACCAAGGAUGGACGUAGAAUUUGUAACAGAAUGCUUCAAAAUAAAGACGAAGUGGAGAGACUGAUAAAUAACAAAUAUGCAACACGCUUCAUGAAACCUCUGAGAGGUACUCCAGCCUAUUGGGAGAAGGCACUGAAAGAUCUCCAUGCUAUGGUCAGACAGUUAGGAAAGCCAACUUUUUUCCUGACAUUUUCAGCUGCUGAAAUGAGAUGGCCUGAGGUUGUUGAGGUCAUAAAAACUCAACAAGGUGAACAAGUGGAUUUUUCACAACUUGACUGGAACACAAAGUGUGAAAUUCUCCGAAGCAACCCUGUGACUGUGAUGCGAUUGUUUGAAAAAAGAGUCGAUGCACUAAUGACAACACUGAUCCUGUCCCCAGCACAGCCCAUCGGUGAAGUAGAAGAUUACUUUUAUCGAGUGGAGUUUCAGGCCAGAGGUAGCCCUCAUAUCCAUUUACUGGUUUGGGUCAAAGAUGCACCUAAAUUUGGAAGCGACCUUGAAGACCACGUGUACAAAUUUAUUGACAAGUACAUAACAUGUAAGAUGCCUGACCAAAAUGCCGAUCCUGAACUUCACAAAAUUGUGUCUGAGGUUCAAGUCCACAGCAGAAAUCACUCCAGAUCCUGUAAAAAAGGUAAUGUGUCAUGUAGGUUUGGGUUCCACAAACUACCGGUAGACCAAACAAUGAUCACUUUCCCAAGCCCAGAUGAUGACGAUGAUCACAAUGAUAAGCAGCAUAGCACAAGUAAGGAGAAAGGCACAAAUGAAAAACAAAAGCAAAAAAACAGACGAAUGGCUCUCGCAAAAAAACAGAAAGAGGCCAAAGAAAAAUUCCAGCCAUUGAGAGAUUUGCUCUGUGACCCAAAUUCCUCGUUUGAAGACUUGUCUGAGCUGCUUCACAAAUGCAAAUUAACUUAUGAACAAUACUUGGAUUGUGUCUUCAAUUUAAGCAAUGGCCAUGUCAUCCUCUUAAAGCGUGAACCUAAUGACUGCUGGGUGAAUGCAUACAAUGCAGAUCUGCUGAGAGCCUGGAAUGCCAACAUGGACAUCCAUAAUGUCAUUGAUGACUACAGCUGCCUGAUGUACAUGAUGUCUUAUGUCUCUAAACCCGAAUUUGAGAUGACACAAUUUCUUAAUGGAGUCAUCCAGGAGGUCAAAAAGUCCAAUGUCAAUGAAAGAGAUGAAAUGAAACAGAUAAUGCAGGCAUAUGCUAAACACAGAGAAGUCAGUGCCCAAGAAUCCGUGGCAAGGACAUGCAGCCUGCCACUAAAAAAGUGUUCAUGCAGUGUGGUGUUCAUACAGACUGAUGAUGAUGCCCUGAAAAUGAGUCUCCCGAUGAGCAGGUUGCAGAGCAUGGCACCAGAUGAUGAAAAUGUGUGGAUGUCUGGAUUGCCAGAAAAUUAUGCAAACAGACCCAGAACACCUGAGUUUGAAAGAAUGUGUUUGGCUGAAUUUGCUUCAGAGUACAGGAUUCUCUACAGCCGUCAAACAGAGUCAAAAAAUGCCAUCCCUCUUUUGAAUAACAUGGGUUAUAUUCAAAAGAGAACAAGAGGGAAACCUGCAAUAAUCAGAUAUCCUCGGUUCUCAGAAAAGAAACAACCAGAGAAGUUUUAUAGCAGACUACUAAAACUUUAUUUUCCACAUCGAUCAAAUGAUGACCUUAAAAACACAAAAUACCCCACAUCUGAACAGUUCUACAAAAGUGGAGGAAAACAUGGUUUUGCAGUACGGCCAAUUGUUACCUUUAACAAAAAGCGUUAUGAAAGCCAUGGCAAAACAAUGGAAAGGGCACUGGAACAGAUUGAACAACAAGGCCCACUUAUCAAUGCAUGGAACACCUUUGCACCUGAGGUUGAAGUAGAUCGUUUAGAGUGUGUGGCCCAACGACAAUCCAGACAUGACACUGACGAAAAUGAAAUGGACAUUGUUCCAGACUACCAAGUCAGUGGUAGCAGCAGUGGAGCCAUGCCAGCAAUCAUAGCACCAAAGCUGAGCCCAGACUUUGUCAGAAAAAUGUACCAAAGUCUGAAUGAAACCCAAUCAUCCAUAUUCUACGCAGUGCGUGAGUGGUGUUUCAAACUUGUGUGGGGUCACUGUCCUGAACAGUUCUUUUAUUUUGUCUCUGGAGGAGCUGGCUGUGGAAAAUCACAUGUUAUCAAGUCCAUAUAUGAGGAGGCAACAAAGAUUUUGCACCAACUCCCCAGAUUCCGUGACCAAGCAGACAUGUCCUACCCUGCAGUACUGCUGACUGCAUUUACUGGCACUGCAGCUUUUAACAUAUCUGGGAAAACACUGCACUCUCUGCUAAAGCUGCCAAAAUCUUUAAAACUGCCGUAUCAGGGCCUGGGGAAUGCACUGGAUGAAGUGAGAGCUUCACUUUCAAAUGAAGAGAUUCUGGUCAUUGAUGAGAUAUCUAUGGUUUCUAAAGACCUUUUUGCCUACAUCCACUGGAGACUUCAGCAGAUCAAAGGAAACAAGAAGCCUUUUGGUGGGAUGUCUAUCCUUGCAGUAGGAGACUUUUACCAGCUGCCACCCCUUGGAAAAGCCAAACCACUCUGUGUGUACAAGGACAAUGUCCUUGAUCUCUGGAAAGACUAUUUCCACAUGGUCAACCUGACAGAAAUCAUGCGAGAGAAAGAUGAUCAUUCUUUUGCUGAAGUUCUGAACAGGAUAAGAGUGAAGCAAAAAACAGAUUCUCUUGAAGCCAAUGAUAAAGCCUUGCUCACACAAGCUAUCCAUGACAUAAAAGACUGUCCAUCUAAUGUAUUACACAUUUGUGCUACAAACAAAGAGGUCGACAAACACAAUUCAGCAACUGUAACUGCUCUUCAUUCUGAUAUCAUAAAUAUUCAGGCCGAAGACUACAGAAAAGACCCACGAACGGGUGAGAUGGUCCUCCUGGCAGAUAUGAUGAAAGGCAACAAAAGAGAUUUACCUGAUAACAUACAAGCUGCACCUGGAGUGUGUGUUAUGAUUAUUAGAAAUUUGGAUGUUGAAGAUGGGCUUGUUAAUGGGACAUUUGGAACAAUCACGAACAUUGUGACAACCACACAGGAUGGACCAAAAACUGUGAAUCUCAUUGGACUUACGCUGGACAAUCAAAAUUCUGGGCAAAAAUUUCGCAGAAAAAUACAAGGAUCCUCAGACAACCUGGUAUAUAUUGAGAAAUGUGAAGAAUCUACAAGUAAAAAAGGAGUUCUUCGCAGGCAAUUUCCAAUGAAGUUGGCCUUUGCAUGUACAGCUCACAAAGUACAAGGCAUGACAAUGGAGUCAGCAGUAGUAUGUUUGAAGCGUGUUUUUGAACCUGGAAUGGCCUAUGUUGCACUCAGCCGCACAACCUCACUUAAAGGACUGUACAUCACAGACUUUGAUGAAAGGAAAAUCUAUGCUGAUCCUGCCAUCACAGAUGCACUCAAAAAUAUGAGACAUGCAUCAUUUGAGAAUGCAAGACCACUGUUGCAAUUCUUAAAAUCAGUUGUUCCCACAGUCCCCACAUUGACAAUUAUCCAUCACAACGCACAAGGUCUCCCAACUCACAUGGAGGACAUGAGAUGCCACCAUGAACUCAGCCUUGCUGAUGUUUUAUGCAUAACAGAAACUCACUUGUCUGGAUCAUCAGUUUCUCCCCGCUUCCAGCUGGAACAAUACAACAUGGCCACACGCAACAGACACGUCUCUUACACAAACCAUACAGACAUGGCGAAGGUAAAUGGCGGUGGAGUUGCAAUGUACUACAAAACAGUUCUUACAGCAGAGUCUCGAAAAUACCUGCAAAAUGUGACUGACCUUGAAUUUGUUGUUAUCAAGGUUGAAUCGCCAGUCACAGCUUUGAUAGCAACUGUAUACAGGCCACCAAAUUACAGCCACGUGAGGUUUUUACCACAAAUGCAAUGUCUUUUGGACUCAUUGGAAAUGAUGAAUUGCCAACCAAUUAUUGUUUGUGGAGACUUCAAUGAGGACCUUAUGAGCAGAGGGAAAAAACCCAUCCAAGAACUGUUUCAGUCAAGAGGAUAUGCACAACUUAUUACUGCUGCAACCACCGAAAAACACACAUUGAUUGAUCACCUUUACAUAUCACAGCCAUACGCCUGCCUCCAAUCAGGUGUUCUGAAUACAUAUCACAGUUAUCACAACCCCAUUUAUUGUGUAAUUCACUAACACAAAAUGACUGCAAGGUUGUGAGGGAUAUGGACUUGCCAAGUGAUCUUAGUGUCUUUGCAACUGAGCACACUACCAGCAACACUGACAGCUCACCAGUGGGAGCUGAUAGAUAAGACUGCUCUCAUCCAUUGAAGAGCUGACCAGAAACGUGAACAGAAAGACUGCAACUGCACCUGAUGGGAUCCCUGCCAUAACAGAUGUGUUCUGUCCAGUGAAGGCAGUGGAGAAGCCCUACACUGAUCUUGAAACUGU